Molecule: RNA transcript, 6810 nt
Organism: Eriocheir sinensis (Chinese mitten crab)
Lineage: Eukaryota; Metazoa; Arthropoda; Malacostraca; Decapoda; Varunidae
Gene name: gastrula zinc finger protein XlCGF58.1-like
Exons: 3
Source: RefSeq, a predicted model, not a curated record
CGCCUACCUGGCCCCGCCCGCACACCACUCCCAGCAGAAGAGGAACAGGACGAGGAAGACACGACUGUUACUUUUUCAAAACAACGAAAAAGAGAAAGUCGAAUCAACAUUAUAUUAGUUUUGGUGGAAAACAAAUAAAACCCAGCAGACCGAGGCGGAGACUACAGGACCAAAGCAGGAUUUCCAGGCAAGAGUGCUACAUGCAACUGAACUGAAUCAAGAUCAAGAUGAAGGCCUUGAAGUAAACAAUGGCCAUUAACAGUGCUUCCUCCAGCUGGACAGGUCCCUCUACCACCACCCCCUCAAGAUCUACCUGCAGGACGUACGUAGAGACCCCCCCUGAAACUGAUAUCCUGACGGCCGAGCUGUACGCCAGGCCCUCGCUCACCACACCACCCAAAAUCUAAUUGGACUUUGACAGCACCCACAGCACUAGCAGGGGGAAGGCUGUCGUCUACACCGACUCCCUCUCGUCAGUCGUCACUCCACCUCCUCCUCUCCCGCCACCCAGCAUCCUCAAUGGCCCUGGCCCACACCAUCCAGCGGGCCCUCCUCCACCUAGCAUCCGAGAGCUGGGAGGUCACCCUGCGGGCAGUGGGUGCCCACUGCCCUCACACUCAGGCAUAAGAGGCAACGGCAUCGCCGACGCCGCGGUCAGGAUGGCCCUUGCGGAGGUAACCAUCGCGCCGCGCCCCCUGGCUGACACUCUCCACGGCCACACGCCUCCUCUCCCGCACCUGCCGCGCCUCAUGGGACGACACGCUCGCCCACACCCUCCGCACCACCUCUAUGGGCCAGUACCGCACCAACUCCUCCCCACAGCCGUGGGUGAGGAAAACGUCCCGCGUUCUAGACGUGGCCUUGACGCGCCUCCGCCUGAGCCAGCUGGGCCACAACAGUGCUCACCUGAGACCCACCUCCACCGCUUGGCCUGGGCCCCGACCCUCAUUGCCCCUGGUGCAGGACCGUCGAGGACACCAUUGAGCACCUCCUGCUGCACUGCCCACGCCACCAUUCCCAGCGAGUGCUGCCACAACACCAACUCCGCGCCCUGGAGGUGCCUACCUUUGACCUGCCCACGCUGCUGGCGGCGGCAGGCGUCCACCCCUCACGACAGGAACCUGUCAUCCGCCUCGCCUGUGCCUUCAUCAGAAAGACGGGGCAGUUGACGCGCCUGUGAAGCCCUCACAGGACGACACGCUAAUGUGAGCGACUAGAUCGCCGCGGCCCGAAACAACAACAACAUUAACAGUGCCGCUCUUCUCCAUACUCCCCGAGCCAUGCCAGUGCUGAUGCAGAAGUGGGGGUCUGAGGCGGUGUUGUGCUCAGUGCUCCCUGUGUCCUUGCUGCCGCUGACUUCUGAUACAGUGGGGGCUGCAAGGCUGGGCAGCAGCCUGAGUGGCCGGGACCAGCAGGAGCAGACUGUCUGGUGUGAGCAUCAGGGGUGAUCAGGAGAGCCACCUCACCACCAACACCACCAACACCUUGCUGCACUCAUUUCAACCCGUAAAGGAAAUUAAAGUUUGAGUGCAAGAAGACUAGAGACGGAGAGCAAGUCCACUAGACACAGCCUUGCACACACUGGUGAAGAAAACCAUGAGUGCCAAGAAUGUGGGAAAAGACUCCCUGGGAAGGGAGACCUCACCAAGUACACCCACACACUCUGGAGGAAGACUUCAUGAAUGCCAUGAGUGGGGCCAAAAGUUCAUUCAGAAAAGUAACCUCAACACACACACCCUUACACACACUGGUGAAAGUCCUCAUGAAUGCCAUGUGUGUGACAAAAAGUUCAGAAAGAAGAGUAACCUCAAUGCACACCUCCUUACACACACUGAUGAAAGACCUCAUGAAUGCCAUAUUUGUGACAAAAAGUUCACUCAGAAGAGUAACCUCAACACACACAUCCUUAGACACACUGGUGAAAAACCUCAUGAAUGCCAUGAGUGUGGCAAAAAGUACACUCAGAAGCGUGACCUCAACAGACACAUACUUACACACAAUGGAGAAAGACCUCAUGAAUGCCAUGAGUGUGGCAAGAAGUUCAGUAAUAAGAGUGCCCUCGACACACACACCCUUACACACACUGAUGAAAGACCUAAUGAAUGCCAUGAGUGUGGCAAAAAGUUCACUCAGAAAAGUACCCUCAAUACACACAUCCUUACACACACUGGUGAAAGACCUCAUGAAUGCCAUGAGUGUGGCAAAAAGUUCACUCAGAAAAGUACCCUCAACACACACAUUCUUUCACACACUGAUGAAAGACCUCAUGAAUGCCAUGAGUGUGGCAAAAAGUUCAGCAGGAUGAGUACCCUCAACACACACAUCCUUACACACGCUAGUGAAAGACCUCAUGAAUGCCAAGAGUGUGGCAAAGAGUUCAGUAAGGAGAGUGACCUCAACAGACACACCCUUACACACACUGGUGAAAGACCUCAUGAAUGCCAUGAGUGUGGCAAAAAGUUCAGGAAGAAGGGUAACCUCAACACACACAUCCUAACACACACUGGUGAAAGUCCUCAUGUAUGCCAUGUGUGUGACAAAAAGUUCAGGAAGAAGGGUAACCUCAAUGCACACCUCCUUACACACACUGAUGAAAGACCUCAUGAAUGCCAUAUUUGUGGCAAAAAGUUCGUUCAGAAGAGUAACCUCAACACACACAUCCUAACACACAAUGAUAAAAGACCUCAUGAAUGCCAUGAGUGUGGCAAAAAGUUCACUCAGAAGAGUAACCUCAACACACACAUCCUUACACACACUGGUGAAAGACCUCAUGAAUGCCAUGAGUGUGGCAAAAAGUACACUCAGAAGCGUGACCUGAACACACACAUGCUUACACACACUGGCGAAAGACCUCAUGAAUGCCAUAAGUGUGGCAAGAAGUUUAGUAAGAAGAGUACCCUCAACUCACACACCCUUACACACACUGAUGAAAGAAAUCUUGAAUGCCAUGAGUGUGGCAAAAAGUUCAGGAAGAAGGAUAACCUCAACACACAUAUCCUUACACACACUGAUGAAAGACCUCAUGAAUGCCACGAGUGUGGCAAGAAGUUCAGUAAGAAGCAUCACCUCAACACACAUACCCUUACACACACUGGUGAAAGAGCUCAUGAAUGCCAUAUUUGUGGCAAAAAGUUCAUUCAGAAGUGCAACCUCAACACACAUAUCCUUACACACACUGGUGAAAGACCUCAUGAAUGCCAUGAGUGUGGCAAAAAGUACAUUCAGAAGCGUGACCUCAACACACACAUCCUUACACACACUGGUGAAAGACCUCAUGAAUGCCAUGAGUGUGGCAAAAAGUUCAUUCAGAAGCGUCACCUCAACAAACACAUCCUUACACACACUGGUGAAAGACCUCAUGAAUGCCAUGAGUGUGGCAAAAAGUACGUUCAGAAGCGUGAACUCAACACACACAUACUUACACACACUGGUGAAAGACCUCAUGAAUGCCAUGAGUGUGGCAAAAAGUACACUCAGAAGCGUCACCUCAAUAAACACAUCCUUACACACACUAAUGAAAGACCUCAUGAAUGCCAUGAGUGUGGCAAGAAGUUCAGUAAGAAGAGUACCCUCAACAAACACAUCCUUACACACACUGGUGAAAGACCGGGAGGCCCUGCUAGCAGCUGGGCCAACAUUGCAUCUGAGGUCUCUGAUUGGCCCAUGAGCCAGCACGUGUAUGAUUGGUCCGUCGCUUCAACUUCCCUUCCCCCACAUCACCACGACAUCACACAUAAACAAACCUUUUCAAGCAUGCCGGGAAUGGAGCAGUGCAGGCAAGCUUGGCAGGGUCUAGCCCCUGCCCCUGCCCCAGCAGAGCAACAACAGCCACAAGUGACCUGUACUGCUGGGGAUCUAGCCCCUGCCCCAGCAGGGCAACAACAACAGCCACAAGUGACCUAUACUGCUGGGGCUUUAGAGGCCACACGUGAUCCCAUGGCCUAACCAACCCCCGAAAAACACUGAAGAAGAACACCUUUUGGCCCAUCACUCUAUACUUACUGAGUUUACUUAGUAAUGUCUAGAGGCCAAUGCCUCAGUCGUUCUGCUAAUGUUGAAGAAAGAGUAGCCACCUCUUUUGAAGCUAAUAAUUACAUUAUGGAUUCUACUUUGGUUCCUGAAUGCAGUGCAGUAAAGAAUGACUUCUGGAAAACAGAAGAGGGUGUUGAGGAGGGCAAAGUCCCUCCAUCAAGGGGGGUCAGGAGGGGCAAGCCCCCUUGUGAAGGAGUUCCCCCCCGUUAGGUAGGUUAAGUUAUGUUGGGUUAGUUUAAUUUUAUUUGGCAUGCAGGGCCGGUGGAAACACACAGCGUGGGGUGGAGGGGCAGCGGUGUGUGUGGUGGUGGUGGGGGGGGGGGGGCACUGCACUAGCCAGUGACAACAGGUGGUAGCAGGUGCACCUCAGGCACUGAAGGCAAUUAUUUAGUGGUUUCCAGAAAAUAAAAUUUAUUCAUAAGAAAAGCGUCAUAAAUUUGCCUAGAAACAAACAGUCGGUGUCUUGAAAUUAGCAGGCUACCCUUUCUUCAACAAUCCCCAAAAGUUUUUGGAAAAAGUUCUAUAAAAGUUUUUUGGGUUAAUAUUCAUUUGCAUAAAGUGUUAUUUUGGGUUCAAAAUGCUCACAGUGGUGAGAUCUAAAUAUCUGUAAUAGUAAAGAUUGCUCAUCCCUAUACACUUGUAAAAUAAAACUAUUUUGGGCGGUAACAUAAUUUCACAGGUCAGUUAAGGGAGACAAUGCAGGUUUUUUGUUUAUUGGAUUAUCUCAACGAAAUUUUCAAACUAUGUAUCUCAUUAUGCUACAUAUUUGUAUGGAAUAUUAUUGCUCUAUGAUCGAUAGUUUUUUAAAAGUAUUUUUUCUCAGAAAACUACUCGAAAGAAGGAUUUCUAGACAUUAUUGAAGUGAAUGCGUAGAAGACACCAUCAUUCAAAAUCCUUUUUCCUUUAUAUAUUGUGUACAUUAAGCAUAAAUCUACAUUUGGAUACAUCAUAGAGUUGCUACAUAUGUUUGUAUUAAGGCCCGUCCACACGAUCGAGCAGUGCCCUCGAGCACAGGCGAGCGGUCUGCCCGUUGACAUGUUUACCGCUUGUGCCUGCUGAAAAACUACUAGGUUUUCAGCGGGCACAUGCAAGUUUUUCAGCAGGCACAAGUGGUAAGCCCGUCAACGGGCAGACUGCGCGCCUGUGCUCGAGGGCACCGCUCGAUCGUGUGGAUGGGACUUUAUAGUUAUGAUUUUUUCUUUUCUUUUUUUACUUUUUUCCCCUUUUUUUCUAACCUUGUCUGUGACCAACUCUUGAGACAAAUAUUCAUAUCCAUGCAUCCAAAUGUAGAUUAUACUAUGUUCUAUUAGAAAAUGGAAGCAGAUUGGCAAUCAGUGUUAUGAAAUUCCUUCCACAUUGAUUUGAAGUCCGUAAAAAUUAGUUUUGAGAUACAGGGCUUUUUAUUCAAACAUCUUAUAUUUCCUCCUCCUGCCAUUUAAUGAUAAAAUUUUUACAAAUCAAGUUUUAUUGACUAAAUUAACUCUAUAUAACACAAAUAAUAGGCAUAAUUAUAUAUACAAUUGUUAAUUUCAGUCACCAAGGUGGUGUUAAGUCCAUGUCACUAGUGGCAAUCCUUUUCCGGCAGGCAAAAUGACAUUUUGAUCAUCCUCAGUAGGAGGUGGUGCAGGUGGCAAUGGAGCAGGGCGAACAAAAUGCCAAUCUAGAGUGGAGCUUACAGUUGAAAGUAGCACAUGGUGGAGGAGUGGAUGGUGGUACAGGUAGUGGUGGUUGUGUAGGUGGUGAUGUAGAGGUAGAUGAAGGAGGAGGAGCAGUGGUGGGAUUCAAUUUUUUUAAGAACAGGUUCUAUCACUCCAAGACUCGCUAACAACAGGUUCUUAUAACUUAUAAGUAAAAGGUGUUCAUGGGGGAAAAAUUGAGAACACCUGAUUUAAGCUAACAGUAACAACCGGAUCUCGGGAUUAAAGAAAUUCCGAGAACAGGUUCUUGCGAACCGGCUGAAUCCCAUCACUGAGGAGGAGGUGGUGAGGAAGGGGAGGCAGUGAUGGUGAAAAGCGUUGCCAUCAUCGGUGUCCUUAGUCCUCGCUUUCCGCUGCUGUUUCUGCCUUUUCUUUGAUGGAGGCAUUUGUUGGUAAGGAAAAAAAGAGAUGUAACACAAGAAUAAUGCAACAAAUAAGGGAAAUAACAGAUUUUAUAUGCAGUAAUAUUCAUCAGGACCCACUGACCACCCCUGGCAAAACCCAGGGUACGACUGAAGUUUCAAGGUCGCUGCUUGCUUGGCGUCGCUGCACGAGUAGCCAGAGUGUAUUAUCCCAAUGCUUUUUACUGCAUUAUUCUAUUUUCAUUAGUAAAGCAACAGUGAUGAAAAUAAUGGGAUAUGUUAUAUUGACCGCGAAGAGGAGCGUAGAAAAUUAAAGAACUUGACGGAUUUAAAGGGCUCUAAGCUUUUCGCCGGAGUUUAAAUAGUCCCCCGAGGCAUCGCCCCCACCUUACGUUUUCCAAAAACACAAUAUCACAGAAAGUGAUGUUUUUCACCAAAACUGCUUGCAUCGCAUCCCUUAAGAUAAAAUCAGACCUUAAUUUUACCUUUUAAAUUAUGACGCACUUAAUAUUAUCUUAAAUUUAAUGGUCUUUUAGACUAAGAUAGGUAAGGUUAGACUGGUCAAGUAAGGUUACUCCCAGUACACUGAAUCUUGCCUCAGCUUCUGUUUAAGUUCAUUUUCAUGAAUGUGAAGUCAGGCUAGCGGGAAUUUGUUGAUGGUCUUGAUUGGGAUCAGGGGUGUAGAUAAAGUUAGCGGGCAUACUGUAUGUAUCUUAAUA